AUGGUGGCACCAGUUGAGCUUUGUUCUUUCUGGGGCAGAUGCUGUGCUGUGAGCUGGAGUUGCUUUGUGCUGUGCCUUUCCCACUCUUUUGUUAGCCCACAAAAUCAGGAUUACUACUCUCAUAUAAUACUAUUAUGUGCCUUUCUCACUCUUUUGUUAGCUCACACAUUCAUGAUUAGUGCUCUCUAUCAAUACUAUUGUGCAUCCCCUUUUAUUCAUUUUGAUGACAAGUAUUUUCGGACGGAGGGAGUAUUUGGCAGGACCGAUGAUUCUGCUGGGGAUAAGGGGAGGGGACAAAGCAAAAGCCACGGCAAGCAGAACAUUUGGUUGUUUUUUCAGUGCUUGUGGUUCGCGCAUAGAUUCCAUGACCUUUUGCCAGCUCUAACCUACAAGGUUUUUUUGAGACCACAUGCAGGCUGCAAUGUAAAAUCCUGA
RNAcentral lists this ribosomal RNA (435 nucleotides) under Triticum aestivum (bread wheat). RNAcentral describes it as "partial small subunit ribosomal RNA". Lineage: Eukaryota; Viridiplantae; Streptophyta; Magnoliopsida; Poales; Poaceae. The record is from RNAcentral.